AUGAACGCUGGCGGCGUGCCUAAUACCUGCAAGUCGAGCGAACAGACGAGGAGCUUGCUCCUCUGACGUUAGCGGCGGACGGGUGAGUAACACGUGGAUAACCUACCUAUAAGACUGGGAUAACUUCAGGAAACCGGAGCUAAUACCGGAUAAUAUAUUGAACCGCAUGGUUCAAUAGUGAAAGACGGUUUUGCUGUCACUUAUAGAUGGAUCCGCGCCGCAUUAGCUAGUUGGUAAGGUAACGGCUUACCAAGGCAACGAUGCGUAGCCGACCUGAGAGGGUGAUCGGCCACACUGGAACUGAGACACGGUCCAGACUCCUACGGGAGGCAGCAGUAGGGAAUCUUCCGCAAUGGGCGAAAGCUUGACGGAGCAACGCCGCGUGAGUGAUGAAGGUCUUCGGAUCGUAAAACUCUGUUAUUAGGGAAGAACAAAUGUGUAAGUAACUAUGCACGUCUUGACGGUACCUAAUCAGAAAGCCACGGCUAACUACGUG
Molecule: ribosomal RNA, 496 nt
Filed under: uncultured bacterium
Lineage: Bacteria
Description: partial 16S ribosomal RNA
Rfam family: Bacterial small subunit ribosomal RNA
Source: RNAcentral